This 96-nucleotide transfer RNA is filed under the name Myxococcus fulvus. RNAcentral describes it as "tRNA-Ala". The record is from RNAcentral. Lineage: Bacteria; Pseudomonadati; Myxococcota; Myxococcia; Myxococcales; Myxococcaceae.
ACGGCGUUGGACUUGAUGCCCAGGUCCGUCAGGUAGCGCUUGACGGCCGCCGCGCGGCGGUUGGAGAGCUGGAGGUUGUACUCCUCCGUGCCGCGC